RNAcentral lists this ribosomal RNA (216 nucleotides) under Glomeromycotina sp. Its description in RNAcentral is "partial small subunit ribosomal RNA". The stretch from base 40 to 216 matches the Rfam family "Eukaryotic small subunit ribosomal RNA", at positions 686 to 864 of the family's 1831-position model. The record is from RNAcentral. Lineage: Eukaryota; Fungi; Glomeromycota.
GGGUCAGUAGGUCGGUCGUGCCACCGGUACGUACUGGUCUCACUGAUUCCUCCUUCCUGAAGAACCGUAAUGCCAUUAAUUUGGUGUUGCGGGGAAACAGGACUGUUACUUUGAGAAAAUUAGAGUGUUUAAAGCAAGCUAACGCUUGAAUACAUUAGCAUGGAAUAAUGAAAUAGGACGAUCGAUCCUAUUUUGUUGGUUUCUAGGAUUGACAUA